This is a long non-coding RNA of Megalops cyprinoides (Indo-Pacific tarpon), 3227 nucleotides long. RefSeq lists it as uncharacterized. The transcript is spliced from 4 exons. The record is from RefSeq and is a predicted model, not a curated record. NCBI's taxonomy places the organism in Eukaryota, Metazoa, Chordata, Actinopteri, Elopiformes, Megalopidae.
CUCACCUCGGCUGCGCGUACGCCUUGCCUACCAAAACGGUUCAGAAAAAAUACCCUACGUAACUUAAAAAAGAAAAGAAAGGGGGAAAACCUUCACGCAGAGUUGGAACAAAAGACGGCAAUUCACAAUGGACUAUGAAUUAGGGGAGCUACUCUGUUUGGGUUUCUGCACACGUUCGCGGCAGCAGGGCGAAUGGAGGGGACUAACAACGGACUUCAACAGAUUCACUCCGAGGCGGUGAGAAAAUUGGACGUGGGGCUGGAUGCUAACAGAAUUCGGACGAGCCUCGUGGCUCACAACUCUAUCUGUCUCGGGCCAGUCAAGCACAAGUAAUCGCUGUGUUUGAAAUAAAUUGCACUGGAUAGGCUGGACUCACAAAACAGAAUUUGCUUUCCUACAAAGUAACGAGUGAAAGACGUUUUAUGUUUUUUAUUUGUUUUUCCUUUCCGUCCCUGGACUUCAUACUCUAUUUGAAAUUCGCUUUUGAACUUGUGAUUGCAGAAGUUCAGUGUCAUUUUCCGCGUAUUGAAACAAACCACCCAAUGCGUAUUGAAAUGGGGACCUAUCUUUAAUUUGGAUUAUGUCGAAAGGCCCUUUACAUAAAGAAGAUGGACGUUGGGACAGUAGCCCCUUCAAGCCCCACCGAGUGUGUGUGGUUGUGCAGGACCCUUUUACCUCCACCAGGGCCCCACCCCCCCACUCUGAAAAAACAGCCAUGCCACCACAGCUGGAGAGACGUCUUGCUGCUGCUCGUACCCUUAACCCUGCUUCACGAGGAGAAAGCGGGAGUGAAGAAGAAGAGUAGGAGGGGGCGAUGAAGAGGCCUGGUUGAAGGGUGAACCGAGGAGCAGGGCAGACCCAGCCGCAGAUGGCCGGGGGGGCUUCCUCUGCAUCUCUCCUCCUCCACCUCCUCCUCCUCCUCCUCCUCCGGAAUGUUCCGCUCCUCCUGUGGGCCUGUGGGAGACGGCAGGCAGGAUCCAGGCAGGAGGCGGCAGGAGAGUGGGCAGGAGAGCUGGGCUCGCAUCCCCUCCGGAGAAAUCAAUACGGAGGAGAGGAGGCUUCUGCUCACGAGGAGGGGGUUUGCCCAGCGCCACCCCUGGCCUCAGAGCUGCAGGAGCUCCAGGGUUGCAGAUACUCCCCAGCGGCCGUUCCGGCUUGCACACGUCAGGCUGGGUCUCUGUGUGAGCCUGACACCACUGGAUAAAACUGCUGGAGAAGCUCUGUUUUUUUUUUCUCCAAUUACAUUUUUUUCUUGGACCGUUAUGAUUAUGUUUUCUCUCGGACUGCUAUGUUUUCAGCAGUGAUUUGAGACGUGUUUGAUACUCCAUUUCCUGUAGCUUUGCAUUGCUACACUGAUGCUCUCGUAGUGAGUUCGCCCAGAGCACAACCCAGAGAAAUCUUAAUAGUGAGGAAAAUUAAACCACUAUGUGCUAGCAAAGUGGCCAACUACAGUGAUCAUGGUUAGCUACAUUGCUGAGUCAGACAGCCCUUGCAAAACACAACAUGCAUAAAACAAUUUAGUUUUAUUAACGUGUGUACUUGGUUACAGUUAAGUAAAUUAAAUUAAGUUAAUUGGCUAAGCCAAGUCCAUGGAAGACAUGAAAAGGAAUUACACAUAAAGGAUAUUAAUAUUAGAGAAAUUUUACCACUGUGGAAAGUUUUUUCCUGGUGGUAUACAGCUCUAUAUACAAAUAUAUAUAGAUGGCCACUGGUAUAUAUAUUCAAAUACAUGCAUGUAUAUACAAAUCUCUCCUUGUUUCAUUUAACCACCAUCUGUAAAAAGUUCCUGCUGCUUAGGCACAUCUAAUCUCAGGCAGACACCAUCACCUGCUGUAGCCUUUCUGAUGCUAUGUUCUGGUGGGCUAAUGAGGCAACAUCUUUUAAAUAUAAAUGUAUGUAAAUAUAUAUUCACAUAAAUCCUGUUGGAAACUAGUUAUAUGUAGUCUGUAAAUGGUUGAUUUCUGUGGAGGGAGAUCCCAAAUACAGUAUAUGAGGACUCUUCAGCGGGAAGUGAAAGUUAUUGUUAUUAGGUGCUCCAAGGACAGACAGGACUUUACAGCACUUCAGGGUGGCAUGGGAGCUUCAGCUGUAUGAGAACGAGACGUGGCUAUGCUGAAGUAACUUUUCACGUGGCCGUUCACUCCUCUUUUUUCACACGAGAUUGCGGGUGGGGGUCUUUUUUUUCUUUUGCAAAACCAGAAAUGUGUUUUCGAGAAGGUGGACUUUUUUGACCGGACUGUUAAAUUCUGCAGCAAAACGGGCAAAAUGUACAAGAUGCGGUGAUCCGGUGUCAGCCUCUAAGACUUGACGUCGACAGCCUUCUCCAGAGAAGAUUCAUCCGGAAGGCACAGGGUGUGUUUUUUCGUUUACGGGCUGUGAUGGACUACAGGACAUCCCUCCAGCUCCAGCUCUUAUGAUGCUGUUCACAGGCAAGGCUGCAACGAGUAGCCUAAUGGCCAUUUCAGGCUAGACCUGGCCAGACCACACCCACCCAAGAGUGAUGUCACAGAAAAGACCCUCAGUCUCCAGAAUCAUAGUGAGGACCAGAGAUUCUGAAGGGAUGGAGAGCUGGGCCAUGAACUUUGGAAAACUGGGCUCUUCAAGGGUGUGCCCCCCAAUAAGACUGUCCCAAAAAUCUCUGCAAACACACAGGUGGAGCCCAGGAAGCUUAGACAGGAUAGCACCGUUUGUUUCCUGACACCACUGGUGGAUGCGAUGGUGUUCCACAAUAUUAUACGCAAAUAGGAGUGUUUCACAGCACAGGUGAGUGACUGUUUUGUAAAUGCAGGUAAGUAUACAGGCAAUCUUUGCUCUAAUUACUGUUCUUUUAGAUCUGCAGUGUAAUCAGCUCUCCGGGGUAAUGCAGUUGUAUGCUUCAGUGGUGAGAUCCAUGACCAGCUGAGUACAGCACGUGCAGACAUUUCAGAGAAAUGUUCCGUGUUGUUUAAGCCCAGACUGAAAUGACCCAUAGACUGAACAGACUGUGGUAAUGUAUAACCAGGAGGAUUAAAAGAGGACAAGCAGCAGGAUUGACUGCAUUAGCAUGGAAAGUGGAAUCGCUUAUUUUGGCUCGGGCAAAUUCAUGGCCAGACACUGGUCCCUAAGGGGUCCUUGCAGAGCCGUGCCAAGUGUGAGGAAGUGACGGUUGACAGCACAGGAAGUCAAAACAAUUUAAAUUUUAAAGAGAGGCUUAGAGCUAAUUUAUGUAAUAAAUGCAUUUUUUUAUU